UGAGGGUGGACCAUGACUGCCUU
Molecule: non-coding RNA, 23 nt
Filed under: Rattus norvegicus (Norway rat)
Lineage: Eukaryota; Metazoa; Chordata; Mammalia; Rodentia; Muridae
Source: RNAcentral